AUACGGAGGGAGCAAGCGUUAUUCGGAAUCACUGGGCGUAAGGGACGCGUAGGCGGGUUUGUAAGUCAGGUGUGAAAUCCUACAGCUCAACUGUAGAACUGCACCUGAAACUACAGACCUAGAGUAUGGAAGGGGCAGAUGGAAUUAGUGGUGUAGGGGUAAAAUCCGUAGAUAUCACUAGGAAUACCGAAAGCGAAGGCGAUCUGCUGGGACAUUACUGACGCUGAGGCGUGAAAGCGUGGGGAGCAAACAGGAUUAGAAACCCCAGUAGUCC
Molecule: ribosomal RNA, 274 nt
Filed under: uncultured bacterium
Lineage: Bacteria
Description: partial 16S ribosomal RNA
Rfam family: Bacterial small subunit ribosomal RNA
Source: RNAcentral